This 433-nucleotide ribosomal RNA is filed under the name uncultured bacterium. Its description in RNAcentral is "partial 16S ribosomal RNA". It matches the Rfam family "Bacterial small subunit ribosomal RNA", at positions 30 to 507 of the family's 1533-position model. The record is from RNAcentral.
AGCGAACGCUGGCGGCAGGCCUAACACAUGCAAGUCGAACGGAACCUCCGGGGUUAGUGGCGGUCGGGGGAGUACCACGGGGGAACGUGCCUUUAGGUACGGAAUAGCUCCUGGUAACGGGUGGUAAUGCAGCAUGUGCCCUUCGCGGGUAAGAUUUCUCGCUUUUUGAGCGGCCCGCGUCUGUUUCGCGAGUGGGUGAGGUAACGGCUGACCAUGGGGUCGAUCAGUAGCUGGUCUGAGAGGAGGACCAGCCACACUGGGCAUAAGGCACGGCCCAGACUCAUACGGGAGGGAGCAGUGGGGAAUCCAGCGCAAGGGGGGAAGGCCUGACGCAGCCAUGCCGCGGGAAUGAUGAAGGUGGUAGGAUAGUAAAAUUCUUUCAGCGGAGGCGAUAAUGACGGUACCCGGAGAAGAAGCCCCGGCUAACUUCGUG